Molecule: transfer RNA, 75 nt
Filed under: Bacilli bacterium
Lineage: Bacteria; Bacillati; Bacillota; Bacilli
Also listed under: 2 other names
Description: tRNA-Val
Rfam family: tRNA
About the family: Transfer RNA (tRNA) molecules are approximately 80 nucleotides in length. Their secondary structure includes four short double-helical elements and three loops (D, anti-codon, and T loops).
Source: RNAcentral
GGGUGUUUAGCUCAGUGGGAGAGCGCUUCCUUCACACGGAAGAGGUCGAGGGUUCGAAACCCCCAACACCCACCA